GCUACCAGAACAAGAGGGCGAGUCUGUGUCAUCAUCACGUGCUUGUUUCUCUACAUGUUACUGGCGAUCUACUCGAUGCUGUGCUUCAUUUGCAUCGCAAGCUGGGUCAAGAACAAACUGGCAGAAGAAAACUAUAAAAAUGCAGCCAUCACAAAGCUAUUUGAAUUCACAAAUUCACUUCCUAACAAGAACCAGCUGGAAAUAUUCAGGGAAAUCCUCCAGACAGCAGUAGAAGAAGAAGAGAG
This is a long non-coding RNA of Oreochromis aureus, 245 nucleotides long. RefSeq lists it as uncharacterized. The record is from RefSeq and is a predicted model, not a curated record. Lineage: Eukaryota; Metazoa; Chordata; Actinopteri; Cichliformes; Cichlidae. The transcript has 3 exons.